This 20-nucleotide non-coding RNA is filed under the name Rattus norvegicus (Norway rat). Lineage: Eukaryota; Metazoa; Chordata; Mammalia; Rodentia; Muridae. The record is from RNAcentral.
AUUCGAGGCUACUAUGUGCU